RNAcentral lists this long non-coding RNA (2479 nucleotides) under Homo sapiens (human). RNAcentral describes it as "HSALNT0014924". The stretch from base 910 to 1099 matches the Rfam family "U2 spliceosomal RNA". Lineage: Eukaryota; Metazoa; Chordata; Mammalia; Primates; Hominidae. The record is from RNAcentral.
ACACAUACACACACACACCCGCAGUUCCUUCCCCUUCAAUGGCUGCUCAGAGACUGAGCCUCCAUGACACGGCACCGCCAACCCCCUGGCCUACACUCCACCCACCUCCCAAACGUGUUGGUUGAUUCUUCAGCGUCACAUUACUUCAUUGGGCUAGGUAAAGGUCUAUCAGUCUUCAGGGAGGCCCUGGACCAGAAAUUCCGUACCUAUUGGCUACGAUCAAGCGCGCAGUUAAUUUUGAUAGGUCCAGGAGGGUGUACGUCCCGGAGAAAUGAUUUUGAAUCCCAGUACCCCCCCUACUUUUCUUUAUGUAGUUGGCGCGCUUUCCCUAGGCACUCGGACAGUUUCGUUGUCUGUUGGAUUUGGUUUUUAGUUUUUGGUUUUUUAUUCUGUUGUUAGUGUUAAAGAGGGAGAAAGCAUCCUUCCGUGCCCAACUUGCGAUACUGAGAAUUCACCACACGGCACGCACUGGCUCUUGGCCGUUUUAAAAGCAUAGCCUCUGCUUUGCAACCAAGGUGUACAGCAACGUGCGCAUCACAUUAAAAAGAUGCCUUCGUGGCAUUGUCCUGCUGGGGUCAGGCUCUUCACAGAGACUGACCUUCCGUGAUGCAGAGCUAGAGCCGAGAUUUUAAAGAUGGUAGGUUAACACCAUAAAAGACAACAAUUUUGAAAGCAGUUGGGUGAAAGCAGUAUGUAAGUUAGUAAUAUUUAAAUAAAACUAUCCUGGAGGAAUUGUUACUGAGUUAAUUGUUGCUGUAAUAAACACUAAGACCUUGGAGGAAAAACGACGCUGUCCUAAUGAAAAUCAGACAUUAAUUAGCAUAGAAAUGGCACCGCGAUGCCGCUCUAAUUUCCCUUUGGUUGGUUUCCAUGGAAAUCUGUAGGUAAAGUGUGCUUUUAAAAGUGUUUAUCGCUUCUCUGCCUUUUGGCUAAGAUCAAGUGUAGGAUCUGUUCUUAACAGUUUAAUAUCUGAUAUAUUUUCUAUCCGAGUCCAAUAUAUUAAAUGGAUUUGGGGAGCAGGAAGACGGAAUAGGAGCUUGCUUGUUCACUUCACGCAUCGAUCUGGUAUUGCAGUACCUCCAGGAACAGUGCACCCCCUCAGGGGAUUAAAAUUUAAUGUUCAAAACAGAAGAAGGAAAAAAAAACAGUCUGUCUAUGUGGGAUGGGAUACAAAAGAGUGGGAUAAGAAUUAUCUUUUGGCCGGGCGUGGUGGCUCCCACCUGUAAUCCCAGCACUUUGGAAGGCCAAGGCGGUUGGAUCACCUGAGGUCAGGAGUUGGAGACCAGCCUGACUAACAUGGUGAAACCUCGUCUCUACAAAAAAUACAAAAUAUUAGCCGGGUGUGGUGGCGUGCGCCUGUAAUCCCAGCUACUCCAGAGGCUGAAACAGGAGAAUUGCUUGAACCCGGGAGGCGGAGGUUGCGGUGAACCGAAAUCGUGCUAUUGCACUCCAGCCUAGACAGCAAAAGCGAAACCCUGUCUCAAAAAUAAAAAGAAUUAUCUUUUAAAAUUUUGUCUCGACGGUCUAACUUUUUUCUUAGCUCUUGCUUAAAUUAUAUCAUUCUUAUUCCCUUACACCAUUCUCAGGAUAAAUAACCAAAUAAAUUCCAAAUGAUUUGGGGAAGGAAGUGGAAAGUGGGGGAAUUAGUCCCAUGCCUCCCAGAACUGGUUGCUAUUUUUCCUGUUUCUCAGGUUAGAGAUCUUUGGCUUUCCAACACAGACUCCUCACAACUCCACCUUCCCUACUCCACCCCACUCAGAGACACACUGCUCCUCAAAGAGGAUUACAUUUAAAAUGUAAAUGCUGACCCGGCGCGGUGGCUAACGCCUGUAAUCCCAGCACUUUGGGAGGCCAAGGCGGGUGGUCACCUGAGGUCAGGAGUUCGAGACCAUCCUGGCCAACAUCGUGACACCCCAUCUCUACUAAACAUACAAAAAUUAGUGGGACGCGGUGGCGCGCGCCCGUAACCCCGGCUAGAAUCGCUUAAACCCAGGAGCGGGAGAUUGCAAUGAGCCUGAGCGACAGAGUGAGCCGAGAUGGCGCCACCGCACUCCAACCUGGGCGACAAAGUGAGACUCUGUCUCAAAAUAAAUAAAUAAAUAAAUAAAAUCCCAUAGGGCAUGUACAUAAGAUUCUCAGGCAAAGGAGAGCAAAACAUGGUUGAAGGGGAAAAGAGAAGAGGGAGGGACUGUCUACCAAAGUCCUCAAUGAAACUGAGGAGUAGGUAGAGAAGGAAAAAAAUGUAUGGAAGCCAAAGAAGAGAUGGAAGAGAUUAUUAAUGGUAGGGUUUCAAAUAAAAGAUGAUGAUUGGGAUUAAAUUGUAUCCUGGAAAUAAUCAAUGUGAAGAAAGGCCAUGAACUCAUUUUACCAUUGAAUAGUGGCUGCAGAAAGUACGCCAUAGGGCCGGGCACGGUGGCUCACGCCUGUAAUCCCAGCACUCUGGGAGGCUGAGGCGGGUGUAUCAUGAGGUCAGGAGAUC